Molecule: long non-coding RNA, 931 nt
Organism: Prunus persica (peach)
Lineage: Eukaryota; Viridiplantae; Streptophyta; Magnoliopsida; Rosales; Rosaceae
Exons: 2
Source: RefSeq, a predicted model, not a curated record
UCAUAAUAUUGUAUUUAUUUACAUUAGUUGCCAUUGUAGGUAAACAACGCAUCUAAACUAUCUAUCUGACCGUUUACUAAAAACUUACAACUACCGUUUCAAAACUUUUCAGUUUACCACCAUUUCAGCCUUGAUCGAUUCCCUCCAUUGAAACCACAGAUUCUCCAACAUUAGAUUCCCCCAAACCCUCUAAUGUCUUUCAAAAUCUGGGUUCCCAGGCGCAUUCCUUUCAUCAGCCCAGUUGUAAAGAGAAUACGAGAACGACCGAAGCAUUCGAUUCCAGAGCAUUCGACACUGACUAGCAAGCGUGAGUGGUCUGCCGUCAAAUAGCAGGUUGAUGAAUUUUCUCGUACAUCAGUUCGUCCAACCUGGGCUGUAGGAGAAGUUAGUCCUAGACUGAACCUGACUCCAUUUGCUUUGAUGGAGGGAGGGGCAUUAGCCAAAACAUUUUUUCUGAAUGUCCCAACAAAACCUGAUUACAGGUAUCCUAGCUAGCUUCUUAGCCAGCUGAUAACACUUGGAGAUGUUAUUAAUUCUAGAGGUGCUCCAUAAUCUAUACAAGUAGAGUAGGCCCUUCAUAAAAGGGUUUAAGAUGAGCAUUACGUAACGAGUAUGAUUACUUUCAAAUUUCAGAUUUAUCAUUCUAUAUCUCAUUAUGUAGAUUUUUCUCCUUUCUUGUUGUGAUGGUUAUGUACCAACACGAAAUUCUGGAGUAUUUUAGUUUACCUACAUGAACAAGGUAUCUGGGUAUUAGUUUGCCUACACCAAAUAGAUGGGUUUUUUUUAGCCUAUAUAAUUUUGAGAAAAUCUUGUAUAUUGAUAACAGUUGACUCCAUGUGUGUUAAUUGGAGGUAAAUUGUGUUCCAAAUUUGGUGUGGAUCAACAAAACAGUUUGGUCAUAUAAUAUAUAUUGCUUUUGAUAACCUAAUAA